RNAcentral lists this long non-coding RNA (990 nucleotides) under Homo sapiens (human). Its description in RNAcentral is "long non-coding RNA NONHSAT170692.1". Lineage: Eukaryota; Metazoa; Chordata; Mammalia; Primates; Hominidae. The record is from RNAcentral.
CACGGGCAAGGUGCCCCGGGAUUGACGCCGCCUGUGGCCAGAGCCGGAGUAACGGGACUCCCAGCUGCGCGUCGCAGUCCCGACGCGAGAAGGGCUGGAGUCGGCGUCCAGCCUAGAGCCCCCGGUGGGAGCCAGGCCGGGACGCGUGCACCAUGCCCUACCUGCUCAUCAGCACCCAGAUCCGCAUGGUGAGUACCGGCCGCCUGGCGACUUGGAGCCGGGACCAGGCCCUAGGGGGCUGCGACUGCACCUUCAUGCCUCCCUCCUGGGCUGCACCCACCGGGGACUGGACCGGGAACCCGCCCAGACACGCCCCCUUGGCCGGGGAGAGGGAGUGGAGAAGCGGGCUCAGCUCGGCUUCCGGGACUCAGCGAGCUCUGGCCGGCCUGAAGCCUUUAUUGCCGCGAAGGGGCCCGGGUGGGCCCCACUAUGGUGGGCGAUGAACAGUCGGAUCCAGAGCUGAUGCAGCAUCUGGGGGCUUCAAAGAGAAGAGCCUUGGGAAACAACUUUUAUGAAUACUACGUCGAUGACCCUCCCCGCAUAGUCCUGGACAAGCUGGAACGCAGGGGCUUCCGUGUGCUGAGCAUGACGGGGGUGGGCCAGACGCUGGUGUGGUGUCUGCACAAGGAGUGACCUUCUCAUGCUGAUUUGCAGACGGGGCACCCCUGUGGAGGGGCUGCUGUGGGCCCUGACCUCCAAGCUCCUGCCUCACCGUCUGCCUUGCUCCUCUCUUCCCAAAUCAUCACCGCCAUGGGCCCAGCCCCAAAGGGCAGUGAAUGGCCUUCUCUGAAACCCUGCGUCAAGCAGUGGGAGAGGGCAGUGCCCGGUGCCCUGGUGCUCCCAGCUGCCCUCCUGCUUCGGGCCUGGGCCGAGGGCCUUGUGUAGGCCAUGUUCCUCGGGCAGCUGCCCCGGGCCGGAGCUGGGCACUCCAGCGGCCCUGGCGCGUGGCUCCUGCAUAGCUAGCCCAAGCCAAUAAAGGGCUGUGAUGAG